ACGGAAGGCAGCAGUGGGGGAUAUUGCACAAUGGGGGAAACCCUGAUGCAGCGACGCCGCGUGAGUGAAGAAGUAUUUCGGUAUGUAAAGCUCUUUAAGCUGGAAAGAUAAUGACGGUACCAGCAGAAUAAGCCCCGGCUAACUACGUGCCAGCAGCCGCGGUAAUACGUAGGGGGCAAGCGUUAUCCGGAUUUACUGGGUGUAAAGGGAGUGUAGGCGGGACUGUAAGUCAGAUGUGAAAUAUACCGGCUCAACUGGUAGACUGCAUUUGAAACUGCGGUUCUUGAGUGAAGUAGAGGUAAGCGGAAUUCCUAGUGUAGCGGUGAAAUGCGUAGAUAUUAGGAGGAACAUCAGUGGCGAAGGCGGCUUACUGGGCUUUAACUGACGCUGAGGCUCGAAAGCGUGGGGAGCAAACAGGAUUAGAUACCCUGGUA
Molecule: ribosomal RNA, 434 nt
Filed under: uncultured Ruminococcus sp.
Lineage: Bacteria; Bacillati; Bacillota; Clostridia; Eubacteriales; Oscillospiraceae
Description: bacterial SSU rRNA
Rfam family: Bacterial small subunit ribosomal RNA
Source: RNAcentral